Molecule: ribosomal RNA, 504 nt
Filed under: uncultured Glomus
Lineage: Eukaryota; Fungi; Glomeromycota; Glomeromycetes; Glomerales; Glomeraceae
Description: SSU rRNA
Rfam family: Eukaryotic small subunit ribosomal RNA
Source: RNAcentral
AGCAGCCGCGGUAAUUCCAGCUCCAAUAGCGUAUAUUAAAGUUGUUGCAGUUAAAAAGCUCGUAGUUGAAUUUCGGGGUUAGUAGGUUGGUCAUGCCACUGGUAUGUACUGAUCUUACUGAUUCCUCCUUCCUGAUGAACCGUAAUGCCAUUAAUUUGGUGUUGCGGGGAGACUGGACUGUUACUUUGAAAAAAUUAGAGUGUUUAAAGCAGGCUAACGCUUGAAUACAUUAGCAUGGAAUAAUGAAAUAGGACGUUCGAUCCUAUUUUGUUGGUUUCUAGGAUUGACGUAAUGAUUAAUAGGGAUAGUUGGGGGCAUUAGUAUUCAAUUGUCAGAGGUGAAAUUCUUGGAUUUAUUGAAGACUAACUACUGCGAAAGCAUUUGCCAAGGAUGUUUUCAUUAAUCAAGAACGAAAGUUGGGGGAUCGAAGACGAUCAGAUACCGUCGUAGUCUUAACCAUAAACUAUGCCGACUAGGGAUCGGAUGAUGUUAAUUUUUUAUGUA